GUUGCUUUUGCCACACAGCACGCGGGAUAUGCAGCGAAGUCUGGCGAAGUCUUCUAAGUGGCUCGAUAGCGACGAUUGCGCAUGUUCGUUUUGCAGCGAGUUAACACGUGCUUUGCGGCUUCGAUACAGACGCACAAAUGAGACAGAAGGUUGCAUGUUUAGCGCUGCGUCUGGCCGCGAAGUUCGAGAGGAUUCCAACUUACCGCCUUCGUGAACCACAGUGGAGUUUUCGCGCAUGCAGUCACUCGAGUGUCCAAGAGUGGCACCGAGACGCGCAGUCGCGCGUUCCGUCGUUGAAGACGGACAUUUUCGAGGCGAUGAAGGGCUACCCGGUGAGCUUUGAUCAUCUUUAUGAUAGUGUGGUGCGGACGCUAAUAAGACAGGGUUUCGAAGACAAGCACAUCGUCCAGGUAGUCACCAAGGCGCCGCGGAUAAUCGAGUUGCAUAGGUCCCUGAGCGACAUUCUCUCCUUCUGGAGGACUUUGUUCAGGAGUGAGCCCGUUUUCUUGCAGACGAUAUCCGAGUACCCCGAACUCCUCUACUUGAGUCCAGAGGCGGUCGAAGAGAGGCAGAAGGAACUGUUCACAGUCUUUCCUAACAAGGACAUUGUCAAGCUAGUGGAGACAUGCCCGCAGGCGUUUAUCGACGACUGGGACGAGAUCAUGGAGAAAGUGAACUACAUAGCGCACGCCAUGGUCAUCAGUCCGGAGCACAUCGUCAGUAGCGCCGCUCUCAGCUACAGCUUACUCCACAUCAAGACGAGGCAUCAGUUCCUGCUGUGCUGCGGCAAGUACCGCACGCCAAAGCCCAAGGAAGUUACGACCACUAAUCCACCCCUGGACAAGAUCGUCGGGCUGCCACUUCGCCUGUACCUCAACAUGUGCGGAGUCACGGCUGAAGAGUACUACGUGUUUGAAAAACUUAUGAAAAAAGAGCAAGAACGAGAAGCAGAAGAGGAUAGCGACGACGACGACCUUGAUUAGCAAAUCGCCUGUUUUUUAUUCCUUAGGUUUGCUGAUGUAUGAGGCUUUUUAUACGCGCCAAGUUACCGAAUUGUGGUGCCAGAAAGAGUCCCUAAUUCAUCGUGUAUUCCACAGUGCGUGACGUGUGCUGCCUUUGACAUAGCCAAGCCCGGUGUGCUGCACGCGCUGGCCAUCUUGAAUAAAAGUACUCAGAAAAACCAGCGUGGUGUCGAGUGACGAAUCACAGUGCACGCUAUGGAGGCACUGAAUGGAUGCGAAGAACAGGUUCGGAGAACAUGGUCAUGUAGACACCACGUUUGGAUUUCGCCAAUGGUCAUUAUUUGGCAAAACCUCAAGUGACACUGGCGUAUGCAGCUGGGGUGCCAUCUCCCGAAAUCUUUGCUGGCUAGAGACGUUGCCGAGGUUUGAAAUGGACUGGCAAUAAAUUGUAUGUGCCUAGCGUUUCUUGCUAAAGCCUUGACUGAU
Molecule: RNA transcript, 1448 nt
Organism: Dermacentor albipictus
Lineage: Eukaryota; Metazoa; Arthropoda; Arachnida; Ixodida; Ixodidae
Gene name: transcription termination factor 4, mitochondrial
Source: RefSeq, a predicted model, not a curated record